This 244-nucleotide long non-coding RNA is filed under the name Mytilus galloprovincialis (Mediterranean mussel). Lineage: Eukaryota; Metazoa; Mollusca; Bivalvia; Mytilida; Mytilidae. The record is from RNAcentral.
AGACUUUUGAGUGUAAAAGUAUGAUAGAAAUACUUUUAAUUUAUUGAAAUGCCUGUUAAAUUGUUCCAGUCAUUGGUUACUAGUGAUUGUCAGUCCAUUUCGAUAUUUCAUAGCACUUUUACAAAUUCUGAAAAAAAUAAAAGAAAAAACUAAUAUUCCCAUGGGAAAAAUAUAUCUUCCCAUGAGAAGAAAUUUGUCCCGCACAGUGUUCAACUCCCACAAAAAGGAGUCUAACCAACAAAGA